CAGGAAUUCAACACGGAAUUUCCAAAUUCCUGACAAAUAUUCCUGGAACUUUACAGGCAGAAUCACAGUAUAUAAGGGACACACAGGUGUGUAUGAACUACAUUCAUCUCUGCUUCACAGUCAAGCGCUGCAAUUUCAAAGAAAACAAAGGACAUAAGAAUACAGCACACAACAGACUAAGAAUGAUGAAGGUUCUGCUGCUGGCUCUUGUUCUCACCCUGGUGUUGGCGAAUGGCUCUGCCCUGAAAUGUAACAGGUGUGUCCCCGGCAGACCUGGAGGAAGUUGUGUGACCACAAAGGAGACGUGUGGCUAUGGGCAAGAUGCCUGUGUAUCUGCCAGAUUCACCACAUAUCCCUUUUCCUACUUCCGGAGGUGCAGUAAAAUGGGAGAUUGCUUGAUUCUUCAGUCCAGCCCCUACAUUACAGCCAGG
Ctenopharyngodon idella (grass carp) is the source of this 431-nucleotide long non-coding RNA. RefSeq lists it as uncharacterized. The transcript is spliced from 5 exons. Lineage: Eukaryota; Metazoa; Chordata; Actinopteri; Cypriniformes; Xenocyprididae. The record is from RefSeq and is a predicted model, not a curated record.